UACGUAGGGUGCGAGCGUUAAUCGGAAUUACUGGGCGUAAAGCGUGCGCAGGCGGUUUUGUAAGCCAGAUAUGAAAUCCCCGGGCUUAACCUGGGAACUGCAUUUGUGACUGCAUAGCUAGAGUACGGUAGAGGGGGAUGGAAUUCCGCGUGUAGCAGUGAAAUGCGUAGAUAUGCGGAGGAACACCGAUGGCGAAGGCAAUCCCCUGGACCUGUACUGACGCUCAUGCACGAAAGCGUGGGGAGCAAACAGG
Molecule: ribosomal RNA, 253 nt
Filed under: uncultured bacterium
Lineage: Bacteria
Description: partial 16S ribosomal RNA
Rfam family: Bacterial small subunit ribosomal RNA
Source: RNAcentral